Long non-coding RNA from Helianthus annuus (common sunflower), 1044 nucleotides. RefSeq lists it as uncharacterized. Lineage: Eukaryota; Viridiplantae; Streptophyta; Magnoliopsida; Asterales; Asteraceae. The record is from RefSeq and is a predicted model, not a curated record. The transcript has 2 exons.
UUCACCUCUCUCUCAUCUUUCUUUCUCUCUCUAGACCUCGUGCAUCCCCCCACCACCAUCAACACCACCACCACACCACACCACCCACCACCGUCUUACCACCGCUAUUGAAGUAACCUGAAACCCAGAUGAAAUUAGACCCACCUCUGUCACCAACCACCACCACAACCAUAACCACCUCCGUCACCAACCACCACCACAACAACAAACCUCCAGCACUGUCACCACAACUACUACCGCCUCUGUCACCACCACGUCCCCUCGACCAACCCCCAAACACUAGAUUUGAGCCGCCAUCUCGUCGUCAGAAACAUUCCCAAUCACACAUCCACUUGCCGACGGCGGGAAAGGAGGUGGUGGUUGGUGUUCCGAUGUAACCCUUGUCGACAUCUGAAACCCUAGAUCUAAGACAAAAUCUUUGUCGUCUGAGCCGUCGUCUUUAUCGUCUUGAACUAAUUCUAUUGUGGUGGUGUCCGAAACCCUCUGACCUAAUGUGCAGAUUGGGUUCGUACGUAUGGACUGUUCUAGGUGGCGACUAGGGUUUUGAGCUUGGGAUUGUUCGGAUUGGGUUCGUACGUAUGGACUGUUCUUAGAGGAACGACUUGAAUGCUUUAAAAUUUUGAAAUAUGAUAUUGAAUUUGAGCUUUUUACUAGAUCUGCUAAAGGUUAAUAUAAGGGCUAUAGUAGAACACGCGAUUUGGAUAGUGAAAAACUAUUGGAGCAGUUGCCUUCUUUAAAGUAGCUCUUAUACCGUCUAUUGGCAGUUGUUCGUUUAGAGAGAGAAAGUUAAAGGGUUGGUGGUGGAGGGUUCUCGACAGUGAGGGUGAGACGGUGGUGGUUGGUGUUCGGAUGGGGCGGCAGUGGAAUGGUGUUGGCAGUGGGGCGGCACUGGUAGUGGAGGUGAGACGGAGGUGGUGGGUGUGUGUUUAAUUAUAUAUAUGUAAUAUAUAUAUAUUAAAAGUUUAUGCAUUAACGACUUGUUUCUUGUACUCAUGUGCAUAUAAGACUUGUACUUUAUGUGCAAAUGACCAAAUUACCCUCAUA